CACGCCGCCGGACUUGCAUACCGCAGCAUUGGGCAGCCCCGCGGCCCUGCCAUGGGCAGCGCCUCGACGCCUAGAUUCGACUUAUUCCGUUGGCAACGCACGGCGACUGUUCAUGGCGAGGCAGACGAGGCAGCCGUUGUACCUGCACUGAAGCAUGGCGUUCUUCUUCUGGUCGUGGGGUUGAUGCAGUGCACGCCACCGCGCAUGAGCAGGAUCUCCCGAUUCGAGAUGGUGGAGGAGAGCACCUGGCUAGGGCGCUCCACGGCGGCUCUCGGGUACGAUAUCCACUAAGAAGGUGAGUCUGUCCUUCAUUGUGAAAUCGUGCUGCGGCCGCAACGUGCCGCUCCCGGAGGGCUUCUAAUGGCACGCGUUUGGCUACUCCCGACGUGACCACGGCCUGGGAGCUCUGUGCGGGCAGGCCGGGGAACGCAAUGGAGCUUGCGAAGAAGGCAACUUGUCUGUGAUGUACGGCUACCUGAUGCUGCUCCGUAGUUGGGCCCUAUUCGCGCCGUUGCGGAUGUACAUUGUUUCCGACGUCGUCCACGCGGGUUCGAUAUCAUGGAUUAGGCCGUGUACAGCGGGAUGGCCAAUGUUGGCGAGGAAUCAGUCACCCGCAUGACCAAUUAUUUCUUCAGGUCCAAGAAUGGCAAGAGCGAGGAGGAGGGCAUUGUGGUGUCCAUCGGCCCACCCAAGAACGUCAUGGAGAACUAGGGAUGGGCUCUCCUGCUGGGAUCCCUGCACGCACUAUCGUGCAGGGCCAACCAGCGGCCAACACGUGGCCUGGUGGACCCCAUCACUAAAACAACCAGCCCGUAUCUCUCUAAUUACAUAAAAUCAGUAAAACUGCCUUUUUUUCUUGCCUUUUUUUCUCGCGCGUAUCAACAGAUUGCCGCUAAAAUCGCCAACAUCCUUUCUUCUAUCUAUCUACUCCAUUGUGGAUCACACGAGAAUAGAUCAGGAUCGAUAGAGAAUGGCCCUCUCACGUGGACCAGCAUCUACGGUGUUCUUCGGCAUGGAAGGAGCUCCUGCGACUUCAACCAUAGAUUUGUUGUUGUGUCUUGAAUCUGUAAAUUAUCAACACUCUCAUCAUAUGGAGGAGACAAGAUUAAACAGAAACAAAGGAAAAGCUUAAUUUAUGACAUGCAAAUUAAUCCUUGAGACUUAGCUCCACGUACUUCAUUUUUCAUAGGUCUGUUUCUUGUGUCUUCUUUGCCAAUUGUAAUGAUAGAGAUUAUUGUAUCUAAGAAAAAGGACAAUGUUUUGCUAAUGCUCCUAUGAAUACAGUGUGAUAUUUGGCAAAAUAUGUUGUCCCAUCUUCAAGUGUUGUUCAGGUUUCACUACAACAGGACUCUGAAUAUUGUGUUUUUUUAACAAAACUGUGUCGUCCAUGAACUAAUUAGUAUAUGAUAUUUUUAUGUUGUGUAGAUCAUGAGACCACUAAUGUGGAAGAGGCAGGUCGAAACACAGAUGAUUAUUACAGCAAAAGGUUAAAACCAGAGAUAGGAAUGGAAUUUGAGAAUGAAGAUAUAGCAUAUGAGUUUUAUAAUGCAUAUGCAAGACAUGUAGGUUUCAGUGUUAGGAAAUUUUGGCAUGAUAAAUCCUCAACGAAUGUUAUUCGAACAAAGAAAUUUGUAUGCUCAAAGGCAGGUUUCAAGGACAAGAGCAAGGAACAAUGCCAGCGGAAACGAGCAGAUACAAGAGUUGGAAGUCUGGCAGAGAUGACCAUCAAAAUAAGUGCUAACGGAAAAUAUGUUGUAAGCAGCUUGGAGGAUGCCCAUAAUCAUGAACUCGUAACUCCAAGCAAAUCCCAUCUACUGCAAUCCCAAAGAAGAAUUACAGAAGCUCAAAAGGCCCAGAUUGACAUAUUGAAUGAUUCGGGUAUUAGACCAAAAUCUGAUCAUGAAGUGAUGAGUAGGCAAGCAGGGGGCCGACAAAGUCUUUGCUUCGGUCACAAAGAUUAUAAAAAUUAUCUCCGGUCAAAGCGUAUGCAAUCAAUCCAAGAAGGAGACACAAGUGCCAUUCUUCAAUACCUACAGGAGAAGCAAAUGGAAAAUCCUUCCUUUUUUUAUGCAAUACAAGUAGAUGAAGAGGAUAUGAUGAUCAAUAUAUUCUGGGCAGAUGCAAGACCAAUAUUAGAUUAUCACUACUUUGGUGAUGUGGUAUGCUUUGACACAACCUUUAAGACAAAUAGUUAUGGAAGACCAUUUGCCCCUUUUGUUGGUGUCAACCAUCAUAAACAAACAGUGGUUUUUGGAGCUGCAUUAUUGUACGAUGAAACAGCUGAUACGUUUGAAUGGUUAUUUGAAACAUUCAAAAGGGCUAUGUCAGGGAAAGAACCAAAAACAAUAUUGACCGACCAAUGUCCUGCCAUUAUUAGUGCCAUUGACAAGGUUUUUACCAAUUCAAUACAUCGUCUAUGUGUGUGGCACAUGUAUUAGAAUGCUGCAAAACAUUUGAGUCAUGUUUUCCAAGGUUCAAAGACAUUUAAGAAAGAUUUUGGCAAGUGUGUUUAUGAUUUUGAAGAAGUUGAUGAUUUCUUAGCAGGUUGGAAUGAUAUGCUAGUGAAAUAUAAUUUGGAAGACAAUGACUGAUUACAUAGAUUAUUUCAGAACAAGGAGAAGUGGGCUUUGGUUUAUGGUCGGCAGACCUUUUGUGCGGAUAUGAAAUCUACGCAAAGAAGCGAGAGUAUGAAUGCACUAUUGAAGCGAUACUUGCAUGUUCGCCUUGAUUUAUUAGAUUUCUUCAAGCACUAUGAGAGGGCCGUAGAUGAUAGAAGGUAUGCUGAAGUGGAAAGUGAUUUCUAUGCGAGUCAAACAUCACCAAAAGUGCCACAUGUGCAGAUGUUGAUUCAAACUUCCAAAGUAUAUACACCUGCUAUGUUCGAGGUAUUUAAAGAAGAAUUUGACAUGGUAAUGGGAUAUUGUGUGUAUGAAAGUGGCCGUACUGCCUCUAUUUCUGAAUUCAAGGUUACCCAUUCAGCUAGCCAAAAUAGUCAUACAGUGAAAUUUGAUCACGAUGGAUCAAAAGUUUCCUGCUCAUGCAAAAAGUUUGAAUUUAUUGGGGUCUUGCGUCGUCAUGCAUUGAAGGUGUUGGACCACAACAAUAUUAAGGAGUUGGCACCGGAAUAUAUCUUGAAAAGAUGGACAAGGCAAGCAAAAUCAGGGCCAUCAUAUGCAAUUCAAAAGUGCGCUGAUGAUGAAGAUGCUAGAGUUGUGCUAGCUAGGCAGUAUGGAUCACUAUGUCGCACUUACAAUAACAUUUUGAGCAAAGCAGCAGCAAACAAAGAGGCAUAUGCACUACUACAAAGUAUGUCAAUAGAACUAAUGGAAAAGGUGGACCAGAUUUUACAUGGAAGCAACCAAUCGAAAGAUAUACCAUCAAAUCAUGAACAAGCUGAGAAACAAGCAGAGAAACAGCCAGUUAAAUGCAACAAUGAGAAUGUUGUCCAAGCAAAAGGAAUAAGGAGAAAAGAAAAAGGAAAUAGCAGUAAGAGGAUUAAAUUUGGAUUGGAACUAAACAAAAAGAAUACACACAAGAAAGGUAUGGUACAGCUCAAGAAAUGGCUACAUAAUUAUCUGCUCAUGUUAUUCAAAUAGAUCUAACAGUUUCUUUUUCAAAUAGGUCAAGCAACAACAUGCAAGAAUAAGAAUGGUGAUUGUGCUUCUGCCUCAACUGAAGCAAAUCCUAGCUUCACCAUGUCAAAUCAGUACUCCAACUUGCAAGUACUGCAGAGUGCCAUGCCUCUAGUACCACAUGCUACGAACUACAGUUUGCAAGUAUCAUCGCACGCUAUGCCUCCACUACCACAUGCUGCGAACUACAGUUCGCAAGUAUUGUCGCACGCUAUCCCUCCGAACCCACAAGCUACGAACUACAAUUCGCAAGUAUUUCCGCGCGCUAUGCCUCCGCACCCACAAGCUACAAACUCCAAUUUGCAAGUAUUGCCGCAUGCUAUGCCUCCGCAACCACAGGCAGAAAACUACAAUUUGCAUCUACUUCCUCAGACCAUGACACCAGUGCCACAGCCACAGAAUUAUAAUUUGCAAGUACUGCAUCACGGCCUGCCUCAACUACCGCAGGCAGAUGCUACUUCUUUUCAGCAGUUACUCGGCUUGCAACCACAACAACCAUAUUUCUAUUAUGGCACUCAACCAAGUCAGGUAUAUUUACUUGGUUAGUCGUUAAAAAUUAAGACGAACAUGCAUAGGUCAUUCACUUCCAUUAACUUUAAACCGUAUGUAGAGUUCUGUAUUGAUACCGAACUCGGAAUGGCCAGCAUAUCAAAAUGACCAGCUGCCGACUAAGGUAUUGUUUCACUUACAAGUCAGACUCUCAAAUUCAAGUUUAUUUCUCACAUGAAAUCGUUCCUUUUUUUUAUUUCAGGACUUGGGUAGCCAAUCAAGCCAUGGACAAGAUAGCACUUUUAAAUAGCUCAUUCGCAAAAAAAAUAGCUCUAUAUAAACUUUGCUUCUAAGGAUUGCUCUACAAAACAAUUUUUUUUGAGGGUUGCUCUACAAAACAAUUACGUCCCCAUGUAAUAGUUAAUCUUACUGUUCCUUUUGGUGUGAGAUGUAUAACGGAUUUAUUCUAAAUGGAUAUAUAUAGGUGCACCGAUUAGUUGCUGGUUAUUUCUAUGUGGUUCCAUCCACAAGGAUCUUUCACCAAUUUGAGAUUUCUGUGACUGUCCUAUGACUAAAAACAGAGAGCAUAGCUGAACAUAGCUACAUGACGCUGCCUAGUUUGAAGUCAUUGAAAGCUAGUUUAAUCUCAAAUUAACGGUUAUCUUAGCAACAUACUAGCAGUAAUUAAUUGGAUAGCCCUUGUACUAGUUUGAAGCCAUCGUAAGCUAGCUACUAGUACACGAUAGAUGAAGAAAUCAGCUACCACUAACCUGUAACCUCUGUCCGGCGAGUGUGCAUCUGGCUCCCGUCUUGAUGUGCGCCUGCACGGCCUCUUGCGGCAUCCCAGCGAAGCAGUGCUGCACCCAGCCGGCUGCAUGCCUUGCAGUUCCCCACCUUCUCCAAGGGAUCUGGUCGGUCCAGGAGGGGAACGGCGGCAUGCCAGAGCAGCUGCUCCAGCCUUGGCCGGGGCUUGGGCGCGCCGGAGUCAGGCAGCGGCAGCCGCGGCUGCUCCCUCUGUUGCUCGCCACGACCACGACGCUGCCGGACGGCGGACCUCACUUUCUGGAACUCUCUAUCUCUCUCACUCACGGAGCUUAGUUCAGUGGAAUAAUGGUAGUACUAGCUCGAAGCGUCCGCGGCGGAUAAGGCAAGGAGAAGGACUUUUCAGAAAAUUAAACAAAACAAAAUCUGUUUAUUAAGUGGUGGGGUCCACCAGGCCUCGUGUUGGCCGCUGGUUGGCCCUGCACAAUAGUGGGUGCAGGGCUCCCAGCAGGAGAGCCGGACAAUCCGUCGGCGGCUCAAGCUCAUUGAUAUGGGGUCCAUUGAUAUGGCAUGCGGUUGACGCCGUGGAGGUCGCCACCACUGCAACUGCUGCCUGUGGCCAUCGACCGCCUCCCUUCAUGGCCGCCGAGCUAUGUCCAUGUCGUCCCUACUAACCCAUGGCAUCGUCUGCUUCAGUCCCACCCAUACAGGCCAUCAUUGUAGCAUGCAAGGCCUAUCUUACAGUUCGUAUGGAUCUGUAUUUUGACGUGUUGAGCGUCUUGCAUUUCAUUUACUUUUUCUUAUUUUGUGUUCAUAUAUGGAUUCUGACAGAAUUCAGUCGCUGUUGGAACUCUGCUUUCAUGACUCCUGCACAUGUUUGUAGAUAUGAUUGUAACAUAUGUUGUUUAUGUUUUUCUCAUUUUUUUGCAGCCUCAAUGGAAUAACUGGUAUAGACAUGUUGUAUAUACCAGUUAUUCCUGGUAUAGACAUGUUGUAUAUUAUUACCCGCAAAAAAAAAAGACAUGUUGUAUAUUAUUGGGGAGUAUAUGGCGGGCUGCACUGCCUGGGUGCACAUAGCGAGGUAGGUCGGAUGGCAUCAGGGUGGUGGUUUCCGAUUUUGUUGCUGGUUGGUGCAUGUCCUGGUUAGGCAUGGUUUUCGAGGAUGACUUGCUACGUGUAUGCAUAAUAGCAGGAGUUGAUGUGACUAAGUACAUUUGUAUAGGCAGUUCUAAUAUAUUUUUUCCGUUUGCAUGCGUAGGUUGUGAUGAGUUUCGUGCGUAGUGGUCGAGAGAUCUUUUCUCCUGGCUGUUAGCGGCUGUAGCAUUGUUUUGCAUGGUUGUGCCGUGUUGGUUUUCCUUUGUUUAAAGUCCGCUGCCGCGUAGAUCGUAGGUUCUCGUGGGUGCUGAUAUUCUAGAUGAUCGUGAUUACGUGGUUAGAUUUAUUCACGUCCUUGUAUAAUGUUCAAGGCUCUAGGCUCAGUAGCAGAAGCAACUUUUAAUUUGUUACAUGUACCUAAAAUAACCAUCGAUUGCUAAGAAAGUAAAAAAAAAACAUUUGCUCCCUAGAACAAUCAGUGUGUGUCCACCAAGAAAGAAGAGAAGAUUAGGCCAAAGCAAACCAUCAUAGUAAAAGAAACGAUUAUAUAGAGGUAUCAACACAGGGCUGCCAUUUUUGUGACAUUCAUUGAUAACAUGAUGGUCCAUGCAUUCUAGCUCAGUUAAUUUUGAUGUUUCUUUAGGUUUAAUUCUUUGGGGUCAGAAUCAUUUUUUUCAAUAAACUGAAGCAUCAUUGUGAUAUAAUCCCUAGCUGUUUAGGUAAUCAAACUGAAGACUUCACUUUAAUUCGGCCAGAAUAAAUAGUUGCCACUUUUCAAAGUGCCGUAUUUGGCUAUCCUAACUUAAUUGCAAUAUAAGAUACUCUAACCAAGUUAUCCAUCAUGUUACAUACGUAACUACUUGGGUGCACUUUGAAUUAGUUUAUUUCCCUCAUAUGCAAGAAGGGCAAGCGGGGACAACAGAUACAUACUUCCGUCCAAUAGUGAUUUCUGAGGUCUUCUUGAAGAAGAGAAAGCAACACUAAUACGUCGAAGUUAAAAGUUAAAAAAACACAAAGCUAUGUUUUCCAAUGACCGACCAACCUAAUUAAACAUCAACGAUUCUCGAACGCUCAAGCAAAGAAAUGAUAUCCAAAUUAGCAACCAAUCAAACAAUCAAAAAAAUUAACACACGAGUUUUCCUUCUACCACGUAUGUAAUUUCAACAUCAAGUACCUAUAUAGCACUGUAUCAUUUCAUCACCGGCACACCUGCAGCGGGCGGUCAAACAUGGAUGCUAUGAAUUACCGAAGAAUUGAAAGUUGUCAUGCAAUAUCAAUAUGGUUUCCUUUAUCUACAAUAUACCGACUCUUUUCUUUCCAGUCGAUAAUGCUUUUCUCUAUGAAAUAUUUCAGCAUCCAUACCAAUAUGAUUUUUUGCAUAUACCAUGAAAUGAAAAAAGGGUGAAAAACUCAUUAUUUUCAAGAUUUAUAUUGUAACUCAUUUUUCACCAAUUAUGUAUACUUACUAAACAAUAUGGUUUAACCUCCUUCUCAUAUUUGUUGUAUGCGGGCAUCAGGACUAAACAAUAUGGGUUUACCCAUUCUCAUAUUUCUUGUAUCCAUCCAUGCAUCAAUACAGAAAAUAUUUUACCCUCUUCUCAUAUUUGUUGUAUGCAGGAAUCAAGUUGUGGUGAAUUUGGAUAACACACUAUUAACAUACAUAAUGAGAUCUUUAAGGGUGAAAAAACACCACUAGCUAUGUUUCUCGGUGUUGUAUAUUUGUUUUCCCUCUGAAUGUUGUAAGAUAAUGACCAGCCUAAAAGCUCAGUGAAAAUAUUUUUGCCGGGUUUCUGGCUGAGAAAAUAUUUUUCAAUUGCUAUGUCAAUGCAAGUUAGUCAACGGCCAGACAACAAAACUGCAAUAGAUGGGUAUACCUAUUGAAUUUUUUCCUACACAUAAAAAAAUGGCACUUCCAAUUUAAUACACAAACAAUAUCUUUGAUGUAUAGCUGAAGUCUAUAUGCUCAUAAAUUACCAAUUCAGUCAUAGGUUCAUGCAAACUAUUUGCCCCAAGUAUGAACUCUAUCAUGUUAACUACUGAUAUGACACUCCCUCGGCUAAUGGUGCUAAUGGAAGGAAGUUAUCAUCGUAGCAUACCCUUUGUUUUAUAGAAUGGCAUGAUGUGAAUAACUGAAACUUAUUAAAGAUGUAGCAACGUGUAUUUCUCUGUUUAGCAACAUUUGUUGUAAAUAGUAAACACAUUCCAUAUGGAUACACCGCAGCGACGGGCGCGGCGUGCCGCCGCGCGGGAUAUGCUAGUAUAUACGAUUGAAGAAGUGGAAGCGCCCGGACUUUGUGCCCGCCUCCUUACAUCUCGGCGGCAUUUCUUCCCACUGGCGAUAUCAAUGGCGCGCUUAGCUGAUAACCAUAAAAGGGGAUCCUAUUGCACGCUUCCCGCCGGCAGCUGCAAGCGGUGGGCGACCUCCAUACCGAUGAGCGGCUGGGCGCCCCUCCCCGGAGACAGGACAAUUUUUCUGCUUUAACCUUUUGUGCUAACAAAUUCCAGAAUUGACCUCGUUUGUUAUAAAAGUUCGAAUCUGACCUUUUUUUGUCAUGCCAACACCCUUGGUGUUUGGCUUACACUGGAGACGCCAUGGUCCAUGGCGUCUGGACCUGGCCUGCAUGAGCUUAGUUGGCGUUGACGUGGCAAAGCGAAACGCCACGUUCCUUGGCGUUUGGAGGAAACGCCAUACAUCUCGGCGUUUGGUCCCUAUGCGCUCAGAUUUGACUACCUGCCACAGCAUGCUUAGGUGAGUGACAUGAGACGUAGGUUCUAUGCGUGCAUGCAUGCAUGAAUAAGUAGAUCGUUAUGUGGCGGAGCACGUUGAUUAUCAGCGAUGAGCCAUGACAGUGUCCCUAGUUCUUUCAUGAUCUGUUUUAUGUUAAGAAGAUUCUCUGACCCACGAAUGGUAAAAUCGAUAUAUACUCCACCAUAAGUGCUACUAGAUAGAUUCCUUAACCAAGUCCUGGGUAUUAUCCUUACACUCUUGUAUGCAAGUGUACUACAAUGUUAGAGCAUCUAUAGCCGGACACCUCAAACCAUCCUUUAUACGCGUGCGGACGCGCCCGGUUCAGUGACUGGACAUGAGAGAGAAGAAAAAAACGCCACCCAACCGGACCCUCGUAUCAUUCCUAUAUGCCCAGGCUGUCUGCGAACCCUCAUAUACAUCUCAAAUAUGGGGAGGAUAUGAGCGCUCGCGGACGCAUCUGGGCAUUCCGCAACGUAGGACGCGGCCCUACCCCGAACCAUCUUUUCUCUUUCUUUAUUCAUUCUUUUAUUUCUCUCUUUUCAUCUCCAACAAUCAUGUGCAAGUGUCCGGACAUAUGAGAAAAAAAUGAGUGUGGCUGCGCAGACGGAUAAAUAGGGGCUCAAAACGGACAAGCCCGGUCACUGACCGGCCGCGUCCGUGGGCGUUUAAGGGGUCGUAUUUGCUAUGUAUGGUUGUAGUGCUCUUAGCAUUCUUGCACCGUAGUUCCCUUUCAGAGUACGGAGUACAUAGCAUCGAAAUCACCGAGACGUUCCUCUUUGGUUCUGAAUCGAGUGAAAUGCAUAAAACCAUCACAAUCGUGUCCGUAAAUGCAGUAAACCAUCAUUUUAUAAAUUAUAACAAAACACACAACACGUAGCUCUUGACAGUGAAAAAAAACACUGACCAAAAUUUGAAUCUUGUUUUGACGUGGCAAAUCAUACGCGUGACAAAGGGAUAUACAACGCUGACAAACAUCUUCUUCAGUAUGGAUCACCAUUACGGCCUCCUCUGAUGUGUGUGGUGGUUGGUGGGGUGAUUAUUAUGUAGGCUUUAGAGUGAUAGACGAUGCAUUGGGUCUUCGUUUUAUCCUGGAGGAGCUCACCCUUGGUCAUAUAGGUGUGCAGUGGUUGGGUCCAGUCUUGGGUGUGGAUCACCAAUACUGUCAUUGACCCAUCGACCGGAGUUGGUUCCUCGGGAAGUUGCGUCUGCAGCGGCUGACGAGAGAUCGCGUCGAUCAGCGCCGCCCUGUGUCUGGUCACAUCGUGCGGCAUCAAUGACGGCUGCUCCGUGCUCUGGACCGGCGUGAAUGCAGUGCGGUCAGCGAAGCGUGCAUCAAAAGAAAAGCGCGAGAAAGGCGGCGNNNNNNNNNNNNNNNNNNNNNNNNNNNNNNNNNNNNNNNNNNNNNNNNNNNNNNNNNNNNNNNNNNNNNNNNNNNNNNNNNNNNNNNNNNNNNNNNNNNNNNNNNNNNNNNNNNNNNNNNNNNNNNNNNNNNNNNNNNNNNNNNNNNNNNNNNNNNNNNNNNNNNNNNNNNNNNNNNNNNNNNNNNNNNNNNNNNNNNNNNNNNNNNNNNNNNNNNNNNNNNNNNNNNNNNNNNNNNNNNNNNNNNNNNNNNNNNNNNNNNNNNNNNNNNNNNNNNNNNNNNNNNNNNNNNNNNNNNNNNNNNNNNNNNNNNNNNNNNNNNNNNNNNNNNNNNNNNNNNNNNAGUGGGAGAAAAUACGUCCGGACCGCACCGCGGACCGAUAAAGGCGCAUUGAAUGGUUUCCGCAGUCCGGACAACGCGAUCCGAACGAAUGCGAAAGGUUUGCGGGUCGAUGUUAGAGAUUCCCUUACAAAGGCUCUAAUAUUUGAUUAUGGGGUCAUAUAUGCGGUUACGUAGUGAAAGGUCAUGAACGACAAUUAAAUUAGAUCACCCUGAUAAUGGAAGUGCUACGGCCAACAACGACCUAGUUACCUAAGCCACUGCAGGGUGCAUGCAUGCGUGCGCGCACAGAGAGAAGCUAGCGAGCGGCCGAGCACGCAUGCAGCGAUGCAGCCGGUCAGCGAUUAGCAAAUCUUAGUUAGGGACCAAACGCCAAGAUGUAUGGCGUAUCCUCCAAACGCCAAGGAGCAUGGCGUUUCGCUUUGCCACGUCAAAGCCAACUAAGCUCCUGCAGGCCAGGUCCAGACGCCACGGACGGUGGCGUUUUCCUCGUAACCCAAACGCCAGGGAUAUUGGCGUGAUCCAAAAAGGUCAGAUUCAAUUUUUUUUACAAGCAAGGUUAAUUUAGGAUUUUGUUAAUACAAAAGGUUAAAACAGAAAUUUUGUCCCCGGGGACAUUGCCGACCGCAUCUCCCUGCGGCUGCUCGCAGAGGACGUGACCGAAUACAUCAGAUUCCGCGCCGUGUGCUCGCCGUGGCGAUCGUCAACGGCCAGCCCACGAGACGCGAUCUUGUUGGACAAGCGCUUCAGCCCACGCGGAUGGGUCGCGCUCUGUGACGGCGACGGGGUGCUAGUGACAGCCGCGUGCAAGAUCACCUUCUUCCACACAUCCACCGGCCAGCGCCUCGCCGUCCACCUGCCGGAGCUCCACCGCCAAAAGAUUGUCGGCGUCACCGACGGCCUCAUCAUCAUGCUGGACAAGGACAGCUCUGUGGUCCGCGUCCUCCACCCCUUCACGCGUGUCGCUGUCGAGCUCCCUCCCCUUGCCACCAUAUUCCACACUGAGAUCAACAACUUCACCUCGCUGCUGUCCAUGGGCGCCGCUGUCUGCCGCGCCGACACAUCCAUCGCCGUCGUGGCAUGGUUAACCAGCGCAGAGAUGGUUAUCUGUGCGCGCCAAGGCCACCCUAGCUGGGUGGUGAUCCAUCGAGACAUCAUGCUCCACAACACCUUGCCCUUCCAAGGCCGGCUAUAUGGCACCAUACCGGCAUCAGGGCAUCUUGUUCAGCUCUACCCUCCAAAUCCAUGCGGGGCAGUUGUCGGUCAUGUCCCGCGUGAGUUGGUUGACAUAUUCAGAUCCUCCUACUUCCUCGUGGAGUCCGGGGGACACAUGCUUCUAGCCGUGCAACAUCAUCGGAUGGGUUAUGACAUUUGCGCUGAGAUGGAGUGGUGGCGAUACUUCACCGUCACGCUAUUUCAGGUGAACGUGCAUGGUGGGGAUCUCAUUCGGGUGAACAGCCUUGGUGAUGAGGCCUUGUUCUUAGGGAAAGACCGCUGCCUGUCGAUCUCCACAAUGAACCUCCCUUGCAUCAGGGGCAACUCUGUUUACUCAUAUGUACUAUCAAACAAGGAUCCCGUUGUGCUGCAUUCUCUAGGCAGUGGUUCUUCUGAGCACACAACAAUGCACACAAAGGUGCAUUAUUCGAAUAAGAUGGUUCGUCCAUCCAUGCGGCCUUUCACCCUUCCUGAUCAUCUUAUGACAUAUUGUCAUAAUCUUCAAUGGUAAGUAUCACCGGUACCCUAACUUCCACUGUCCCAACCACUGUGCAACAUGAUUGCCUAAUGUUAUCUUUCUUUCUUGCUGUAGGACAAGGGGGCUGAUGCUUCAUGAAUAUUCUGCCAUUCCUUCAUAUCUGAGUGAUCUGCGAGAGAAAAUACACGCACACGAAUCUGAUAUCAGGUUCCCGUAUAUAGGGGACGUUGGCAAAAAGGCUAAGACCAAGCGUGUUCCGUGUUCGUGCUGUUGUGAAGAAGAACUAGCCCCUCUGUGCUUAGCACCGCUGAGAGAACCAUGUCAAGAGGUAAGGGUAAACACUAAACACCGACCGCCCAUUAGGGCAUCUCCAGCCGUUCGGCCCCCCAGGGCGCCUAAAUAGAGCGGCCUGGGGGCGUGCCGGCGCUAGUUUGGCCCCUGGGGGCGACCUAGCUCCCAGUCAUGCCCCCACGCGCCGGCCCCAAGAUGCGGGAAAUUUAAACUCGGUCGUUCCCGCUCUCAAAAGACGCCGCAAAUCCGGCGAUCGGACGUAGUCUGGCGUUACAAAAAACAGAGCGCCGCCGCCGCAAGUUCGCGUGCGCAACGAUUCACUCGGCGGGGUCGGCUUCAGGCGUUGGCGGAGUCGGCGUGCGCGGGCUCGUCGGUGUCGGAGCUGCUUCGGUGCUGGGCUGCGUCGGCACGGCUUCGGCACUGCUGGGCGGCAAUGUAGAGGCGUCGUUCGGGCUUGGCGUCCGUGUGGUCGUGGGCGUCGUCGGCGUUGCCGUCGGCAGCUCGUUCAGGAUGAGGCCCCGCUGCACCAGGUACCAUGCCUUGAGCUUCUCGUCGUUGCUCUGGAGCAUGUCCGCCCCGCUCACCAGAAAAGCCAUGUCGGUGUUCCUUUACUUCGCGGCGACGUUCGUCCGGAGCGGAUCGAGCUUGAUGGCGUUGUUCUUCAUUAGCGACGACCACCGCGCCUCGGUCUUCUCUUCGCGUAGGACGGCCUGGGCCUGGGGGUCGGCGAGGCAAUGCUCGAUGGACUCCUGCACUCGCGCGGUUGCCGCGUCGGCACUUUUCCCCUUCUUUGCCAAUUUGUGGCCGUCCGGCUGCCCCUCUGACGCGCCCGGAGUCGUCGCGUCCGGCUUGUAUGUCUCCUUGGCCUUGUCGAGGGCACGUCGGAUUUCCGCCCACUUCUCGCACUUGUCAAUGCGCUUGUAGACGUGGAGGUGCUUGAAGUCGGCGUCUUGGUUGUCGCCCCGAUACAUGGCGAACAUACGCAGCAGCUGCGCGGAGGGACGAACAGUUGGCGGGCGGUGGGCGUAGGGAACGAAGAUAUGCGGGCGAACGGCGUGCGUACCUGAUCCUCAACGAUGGCGCCGCUCUCCGGGCGAGCCGCGACCUCCUCGACGAUUCCAUGCCAUUUGUUGCACGCCAACUGGACACGCCCCCAAUGGUUCGCCAUCGCCUUGGAGCCGCGCUGCAUGUAGACGCCUUUGAAGUAGGGGUCGACGAGCUUCCGCUCGUCGAACUCGGCCUUGAUGCGGUCCCAGUACGUCUCCAAGCUCUGGUUCGCGCCGGUGGUCGGGUCGAGGCAGACGACUUUCCAUGCUUCGGCGAGGCAUUCCUCCUUGGACGUCCACUUGAUGCGCGGUUCGCCUGACCUAGCCGCCCACUUCUUCUUCUUCUGGCGCCCCUUCAUCGGAACAGGAGCCGGCUCCUCCUCCUCCUCCUCCUCCUCCUCGGGUCCCUGCCGUCGUCGCCGUAGACGUAGCCGAGCUCGGCCUCCAUGUCGCCGCUAAGGUCCACUACCUCGUCCUGGGUGGCAAACCCGGGAGACGCGGCGGCCGCGGUCGAUCCUGUCGCGAUGAUGUCGUCCAUGUCAGCUCCCGUGUUGUGGGCGUCACCGAGGUGCGAGAAGGGUAGCGGUCCGCGGUAGAGAUGGGGCAUCGGUGUGGACGCGUAGGCGGCGGGCGGCGAGUAGUUGUAUGGAGGGUACUGCACGCCGACGAAGGCGGGCGAGGGCGUGCGCGUAGCGGGGUGACCAUGAGGGAAGGUCAAGUUUGGGUUGAACCCACCGUGCGCGUCGCCGUCGGCGUAGCCGGGCGACGAUGAACCCCAUGGAGAUCCGGCGCCUUGCUGUCCACAGGGCGCGUACUGGGCGUGGCUGACGACGGAUGGAUUCAUCCCCGCCUGGUUGACCGAUGAGGAAGACGCCGCCGCGCGCGCCGCGUUGUCGCAGGCCUUCUUGGCUAUGGCCCUGUUCCGCCUGUCGGUGGUGACUGCUUCGCGCCGCUGAACUUCCACCCUCCACUCGGCGUUCGACAGGCCCGGUGGCUUCGAUGGCGGCGCCCUCGGCUUCCUCUGCUUCGGCUGGGCCACGGCGCCAGCCGCGGUUGCCGCCGCGCGCGGCAUGGCGUACUUCUUCGGCGGGAUGGCGUACUUCUUCGCGGCGAGCGGGAGGGAGUUUGGCGGGAGAAAAGAAGAGAAUGGCGGGAGGAAGGCGAGCGAGCGGGAGAGAUGCGAGGGAAAAGCGUCAAGAAACGGUGGGAAAAGGCCCUCGGGUCGCCUCCAGGGCGGGCCCACGCGCCUUUUUCGCUUGUGCCGGCUCCCCAAGCGCACCCCAGGGCGCCGGGGUCCGCCGGCACCAGUUUUGGCCCAAGCCGGCGAAAAACGGGCUUCUGGGGGCGCGACUGGGGCCUUUUUUUGGCGCCGGCACGACAAAAUCGUCUGGGGAGGGCCUGUUGGGGACGCGGCUGGAGAUGCCCUUAGGAUCUUGAAAUUCAUUUCUCCACAUACUAGUACCUAUCGGUUCCUUCACCCCUUCUAUCCAUGCCGUUUGUCAUUGCACACUUGCCUUAGCUCUUCUAUAUGUCUAUGCCGUCCCCUUUGUGCAGAAGAAAUCUAUCAUAGAAUGUUUGUACAUUUCUACUUACGCAUCUCUGAAUCAACUUGACUUGAAGAGCUUAUAAGAAGCUUCAGAGUUCGGCAAACAGCAGAACCUACUAUGCUAUUUAAUGAGUAAUUAAUUUAUGAUAGGCUUGGCCUAAAUCCUGUUGUGCGAUGAUUUUGGAAUUUGUAUGCGUUUCAUAACUUGCAGAUUUGAUACGAAAUACUCUUUUCUGUUUUUCCAGGUUCAAUCCAAAGCUCCAAGAUGGUUUGCUGGUGUUUAAGGUUUAUUUUAAUUACAGAGUCUUGAGGUGCCUUAUUUGUACUCUGUAGCUAGCAAUUCAUUGAAGGAGAUCUCUUACAGUCUUACUGGGCUGCCCUCGCACAAAUCAGUAUAUCUUUGUAUGUGGCAGUUGGACUGUUUUGAAACUUUUAUUUUAUUGGGAAGACAUGAACUGAGCAAGCUUGUAAACUAAGAUAAGAUUGGUUGCCACAGUUUAUGACCAUAGAUGAUGUGAUACUUUUACGUAACAAGUAAGGAAAGAGCAUAUGCAUUUGGAUGUGCUUAUUAGGGUGGAUGUUGUCAUAGAAACAAUACACUUGGAAGUGGAUUCCCUCGUCAUUUCUAGAGACCUUAAUUUUACCCAUGAGUUUUCAUGUUAACUCCAUAUAGUAGACAACGCUUGCUUCAAGUUUAUACAUCUUCAUAGUUAUCUGAACAUGUUUUUAAUCAUAUUUUUUAUAUCUAUAAAAAAAUACUGGUAGCUGAUUUUUUUAGGGAGCCAGGAACUGCUGCUUUUUCCUUGUUUUUUUUCCUCCAAAGCGUAUUUUCUCAGUAGAGUGGCAUGUAUACUUUUUUUAAUAAAGGGUGAAUUUUAUUGGCUUGUAAUAAAGCAUCAAGAGGAUAUACAAACACAAUAAAAACACAUCCGGUCUUUGCAUUUGUAAUAUGCACACAGCCGACACCAACACGUGUACACAAAAAAACACGACGCCAAAUAGCAAAGUCAUACGAGAUCAAAGUUAUGCAAAGAUGAGAAAAAAAAACAAGCGGUUAGAUCCGUGAUCGACAAACUAUAACAAUAACCAUAUACGCAACAACCAUCUCAUGACACUACAUGAACAAUGAGGUUCUUCCACAAUAACUCGUUCAGAAAGGAAGCGAUGCUCAAGCACCGUCGUCGGUUUUCACCUUGAAGAAUUAGUCCGAGCAUAUCCAAGCAAUGUCUUCGGUAAGGUAACUAGGUAAAAGAAACAUCGCCAUAUCCGAGCCACAUGGAUGCUUGAGCUUGGCAAAAGUGCUCGUUAUACUGAAAGUGUCAUUCUACUCCCGGGUCCAUAUGCACCCGGGAUGAACCUUAAAAUUCAAAAAAAAAACUAUUUAGAAAAAUCAAAAAGAUUUUUUUGUCGGCAAACAAAAUUUCAUGAUAGAGUGACAUUCGUGAAGGUCCAAAAAAAAGCCAGUGCUUAAAAAUGCUUUCAAAAAUAGUAUUUCUAAAGCAUAGAUUUUUCCUGUCUCGAGCAUUACAUGUGUCUUUUUCUUCACAACACUUUACACGCAGUAGAAACACUCAUCAAUGUUUGUCACAAACAACUCAGAUUAUUUUGAACCAUUUUUAUUUUUCUUGGUAAUUUACAGUUUUUUGGGUACUUUUGUAUUAUUUUGCUGAAACUCCGCAUAAGCUCCCACCCGAUAAGGUUUUGAUUCAAGGGUGUGGCUAGGUCUCAGUCGACUGAGAUUUAACGAAGCUUAGUCAAGUGACAUUACAUGCAAGAAAGAAAAGUCAAAAGCUGAAAAGAAAAUUUUGCACGCAUCUCAAUGUAAGAUCUUAUGGGUGGACUGAGACUUAGGACGCGUUUGGUUACCUGCAUCGUUUUUUGCCACUUUGCAUACUUGUCCCAGUUGGGCCUGACUGAGCAUAUGCAGGCAAAAAACCAAUAUUUGCAUGUUGAUUGGUUGCCUGCAUCCCCUCUAGCCUGCAUGUGCUAAAAUGGAAGGCCUACUGCUGUUUGAUUGCGGACUUGUUUGAUCCUUUGAGGGGAAACACAAUUCCGGUUGUUUGGUUACAUCCAGGACAGUUGUGUGGUAACCUCCUCCUUGAUGUGGUGAGGUUACCAAAGGCACACAUGAACUACUAAGAACUAAACUAGGAGCAACAGAACAAUCUUAGACACAAACAAAAGUCUUACCAUGCAUCACAAGUUUUAAACCAACAUAGUACGAUAAGUUUUAAAUGAAACCUAAGUCUGAAAGCAAGAACCAACAAGGAACGAGCAACAGGAGCUCAGGCGGUCGCGGCGAAGGCGUUGUCAUGCUCCUUGCACUUGGUGACCACCUCCACGCCCUCGACGUUGAAGACGAUCGCCUUCAUGGUGUCGGGGGUCAGCAGCUUGAACGUCAGCAUGUACCCGAUCAUGAUCUGGUGAACGGCGGCGAAGGUGGCCCAACCCCGAUCAAGGGUGACCCUGUCGUUGAUCACCCUCACCGUCACCCUCCAUGCGCAGCCGAUGUUCAUCUUGAGCUUGAACUCUGUAGGGAUGGUGGGGAAGUGCUUCGUGAAGUCCAGAGGCAAUGGUAGACUCUCCAGCUUUGGAGCAAGGAUAACAUUGCAGAAGUGGUUUGUUCCUGACUCCUGAUGGUAGUGGCCAUAGUUCCUCCGCUUGGCGCUUGGGUGAUCCUACACCGAUACUUUGACCAAUUGAGGCACAACCUCCUUGCCCUUAUCCAAUGGUGGCACGACCUCCUUUCCCUUGUCCAUCUGCAUUAUGAACAACAUGCAGUUCAAUGGUCAUCAUUCAUUCAUAUCGGCCUAACGCUCCUAUAUUAACCCACCCACUAACCCAACACCGCACUCAAACCCCCUCCGUUUCACCACCUCUCCUCUUUCCCCUCUUUGUUUCACCACCUCUCCCUCCAUGAACUCCAACUCCAACCCCAAACCUUUCUCGUGGGGCAUUGGAUGGAGGGCCUUCUUGAAGGAAAUAUGCCCUAGAGGCAAUAAUAAAGUUAUUAUUUAUUUCCUUAUUUCCUUAUUUCAUGAUAAAUGUUUAUUUUUCACGCUAUAAUUGUAUUAACCGGACACUUAGUACAUGUGUGAAUACAUAGACAAACAAAGUGUCACUAGUAUGCCUCUACUUGACUAGCUCGUUGAAUCAAAGAUGGUUAAGUUUCCUAGCCAUAGACAUGAGUUGUCAUUUGAUUAACGGGAUCACAUCAUUAGAGAAUGAUGUGAUUGACUUGACCCAUUCCGUUAGCAUAGCACUUGAUCGUUUAGUAUGUUGUUAUUGCUUUCUUCAUGACUUAUACAUGUUCCUAUGACUAUGAGAUUAUGCAACUCCUGAAUACCAGAGGAAACACUUUGUGUGCUACCAAACAUCACAACGUAACUGGGUGAUUAUAAAGGUGCUCUACAGGUGUCUCCGAUGGUACUUGUUGAGUUGGCAUAGAUCAAGAUUAGGAUUUGUCACUCCGAUUGUCAGAGAGGUAUCUCUGGGCCCUCUCGGUAAUGCACAUCACUAUAAGCCUUGCAAGCAAUGUGACUAAUGAGUUAGUUGCGGGAUGAUGCAUUACGGAACGAGUAAAGAGACUUGCCGGUAACAAGAUUGAACUAGGUAUUGAGAUGCCGAUGAUCGAAUCUCGGGCAAGUAACAUACUGAUGAUAAAGGAAACAACGUAUGUUGUUAUGCGGUGUGACCGAUAAAGAUCUUCGUAGAAUAUGUAGGAGCCAAUAUGAGCAUCCAGGUUCCGCUAUUGGUUAUUGACCGGAGAUGAGUCUCGGUCAUGUCUACAUAGUUCUCGAACCCGUAGGGUCCGCACGCUUAACGUUCUGUGACGAUUUGUAUUAUGAGUUAUAUGUGAUUUGAUGACCGAAGUUUGUUUGGAGUCCCGGAUGAGAUCGGGGACAUGACGAGGAGUCUCGAAAUGGUCGAGCCGUAAAUAUCGAUGUAUUGGAAGGCUAUAUUCGGACAUCGGAAAGGUUCCGAGUGAUUCGGGUAUUUUUCGGAGUACCGGAGAGUUACGGGAAUUCGCCAGGAGAAGUAUUGGGCCUUAUUGGGCCAUACGUGAAAGAGAGAGGGGCUGCCUAGGGUAGGACGCGCGCCUCCCCAAGGCCUAGUCUGAAUUGGACUAGGGGGAGGGGCGGCGCCCCCUCCUUCCUUCUCUUCUCUCUUCCAUUUCCUUCUCUCCUACUCCUACUACUUGGAAGGGGGGAAUCCUACUCCCGGUGGGAGUAGGACUCCCCUUGGGGCGCACCUAGGAGGCCGGCAUCCUCCCCCUCCUCCACUCCUUUAUAUACGGGGGAAGGGGGCACCCCAUGGACACACAAGUUGAUCAUUGAUCUUUUAGCCGUGUGCGGUGCCCCUCCACCGUAAUCCACCUCGGUCAUAUCGUUGCGGUGCUUAGGCGAAGCCCUGCAUUGGUAGCUUCAUCAACACCGUCAUCACGCCGUCGUGCUGACGGAACUCUCCCUCGAAGCUCUACUAGAUCGUGAGUUCGUGGGACAUCACCGAGCUGAACGUGUGCAGAUCACGGAGGUGCUGUACGUUCGGUACUAGGAUCGGUCGAUCGUGAAGACGUACGACUACAUCAACCGCGUUGUCAUAAUGCUUCCAAUUACGGUCUACGAGGGUACGUGGACGACACUCUCUCCUCUUGUUGCUAUGCAUCACCAUGAUCUUGUGUGUGCAUAGGAAUUUUUUUGAAAUUACUAUGUUCCCCAACAGUGGCAUCCGAGCUAGGUUUAUGCGUAGAUGUUAUAUGCACGAGUAGAACACAAGUGAGUUGUGGGCGAUACAAGUCAUACUGCUUACCAGCAUGUCAUACUUUGAUUUGGCGGUAUUGUUGGAUGAAGCGGCUGUCAGUGUCAAAACCGGCGGAUCUCGGGUAGGGGGUCCUGAACUGUGCGUCUAAAGCUAAUGGUAACAAGAGACUGGGGACACGAUGUUUACCCAGGUUCGGGCCCUCUCGAUGGAGGUAAUACCCUACUUCCUGCAUGAUUGAUCUUGAUGAUAUGAGUAUUACAAGAGUUGAUCUACCACGAGAUAGUAGAGGCUAAACCCUAAGAGCUAGCCUAUGAUUAUGAUUGUUGUUCUUGUCCUACGGACUAAACCCUUCGGUUUAUAUAGACACCAGAGGGGGCUAGGGUUACACAUAGUCGGUUAUAGAGAAGGAGAUCUAAUAUCCGACUCACCAAGCUUGCCUUCCACGCAAAGGAGAGUCCCAUCCGGACACAAGACGAAGUCUUCAAUCUUGUAUCGUCAUAGUCCAACAGUCCGGCCAAAGUAUACAGUUCGGCUGUCCGGAUACCCCCUAAUCCACGACUCCCUCAGUAGCCCCUGAACCAGGCUUGAAUGACGAUGAGUCCGGCGCGCAGAUUGUCUUCGGCAUUGCAAGGCGGGUUCCAUCUCCGAAUACUCCAUAGAAGAUUCCGAACACAAGGAUCGUGUCUGGCUCUGCAAAAUAAUUUCCACACACCACCGUAGAGAGUACGGUACUUUACAAAUCCAAUCUGCUGACAGUUUUUCCCAGCGUAUUCUUACGUCGCGGCCUAGUUUAAUAUGAACCGUUUUUUCCUUAGCGUGCCAUGAUAUGCCCUGCAAGGCGGUUUUAUUGGCACGUCCUGUCGAAGCAGAGAUCGUGUCCCCCUUAUCGCGGGAUUCUCAUCAAUACGGGUGCGAGUAACCCAACUAUGCCUGUUGGCAUGACUCCGUUUUUUAGGCAAGUCCCAAACGGUUACGCUAAGGAUGCUUGAUAUUCCCCCUCUUUACAGAGGGGUCGAGGUCUAUCCCUUUCUUACCAUGCUUGCGCCUUUCCGCACCUCGAGUUCCACCACCCGAAGCUCAAGCUUAGGCACUUCGGAUCUUCAACCAUGUCCGGAUCCAACCUUCAAGGCCGGUGGAUGGUCUCCUCCGUCACAGAGGAGGACAUUGCGAAGCUCAGGGAGGCCAGAUAUCCGACCGCUGACGUCAAGCACAUGCUUCCUGCUCCAAGGCAGGUCAUCCCUACUCCCGAACCCAACUAGAGUGUUGUGUUCGUUUCUCACUUCCUCUAAGGCUUAGGUUUUACCCUAGAUCCCUUCGUCAGAGGGCUCAUGUUCUAUUAUGGGCUAGAUUUUCACGAUCUAGCUCCGGAUUCCAUCCUUCACAUCUCGUCGUUCAUCGUCGUGUGUGAAGCCUUCUCCACAUCACCCCACACUUCGGCUUAUGGCUCAAGACCUUCAAUGUGAAGCUGAAGAUGAUCGAGGGCGACACGCGGAGUGCGAAGGCGCUGCAAUAAGCAGAAACGCCGAUGCCCCAUGGCCAGAGGGUUCCUUCUCGGAGGUGUCCGAUCUGUGGCAACGGAGGUGGUUCUACGUCACAGCUCCCCGAGGCACACAGUGGGCGGCUGCCCCCGCCUUCCGCUCGGGCCCUCCGCCUCAACUGGCAUUGUGGGCCAAAGUGGGACUGGACUGGGGGCCUGCAAAUGACGUACCAACAUUGCAGAGCCGCAUUCGGGAGCUUCUUGAGAGGGAUAUCAAUCUUGUCAGAAUCAUUCAGGUAACGCUAGUUCGACGGGCCCUGCCGUGCAAAUGUCGACCUCUUUGGAUGUGGGAGUUCAAUCCAGAAGGUCCGCAAACCAUUCAGCAUUUCUUCGGCAUGACGCUCGAAGGGAUGUAUAAGUUAUUCUUCAGACCACGAGUAAAGUGUCCGGACACCACCGAUGAUGCGGGCCUAAGCUGCAACCGCCCAGAUACCCAAGUAAGUAACCUGUGACCGAACACUUCGUUUAUAUUCAUCACAACAUUAUUCUGAAAACUGUCUGCAUCCAGGAUUGGCUCAGCAAGGCAGAGAGGAUCAGGUGUCCGGCCCCACUUCCCGAGGGCUCGCCUAGUCCUGCAAUAGCCAGGAUGCUUAGACGUGCGCUAAGCCAAGUGCCCUCGAGGAAAGGGGAAGAGAAGAACAGAGAAGCCUAGCUCCACACAUUGCAAAUCGAAACCGGGGGAAUUACUGUCUCCACGAAGGAGGAUAAUCAGGAAGGUGAAUCCAAGGUUUCCUCCCCCCGCAGGAAGAAAAGGGCCGCCUCCGAAGACUUGGAGACGGAGGUGCCUAAGCAAGGGAAGAAUACUUCACCAGGGGGCCCUGCCCCAAAGGGCGUCCUCACGCACCAUGCCCGCAAACGGGCCAACCCUCCACUGAGCUGUAAGUUAAUCGUAAAUAAAAAGUUAUUGCUUUUUUCCUCUGAGAACAAUAACCAGGAUCCAUCUUUUGCAGUCCGGCUAGUAGCUCAUCUCAAUAGAGUUCGUCUUCGGGGGAUCUUCUUCCGGAGAUGAUGGAGAGUGAAAACCCACCUGCCUCUCCGCCCCAUGGGGUGGGCGACCCUGAGGUGUCAUCAUGGAGGAGUCCAGAUCCGCCGAGGCCGGAAGCUAACACUUCGGCCACCCCGAGCCCGGCGUGUUCGGCUCCCAUGGAGGGCAACAAGAAGGAUCCGGGACAGUCCGGCGCCCGGCCGAACAUACUGACGGGCCUCCUGGAGCAAGCUGCUCUCUCGGAGGAUCACCGUACGUUAAUGGGUACGGUGUUGGAGAAGAUUUCAUCCGCCACAAGCGGGUUGAAUGAGGCUUUUACGAGCCUACUCAAAGGCUUUGAGGUACGCCACGAAACACGUAAUUUUUUGGUUGUACCGCACGCGCUAGGUGUGCUCUAUAUAGAUAGUAGCCCCUGAGACUCUCGUUGCCAGCCCUAGGUGGCAAACGGAGGAUCACACUCCCAGGUAAUGAUCGCACUGUAUUCAUGUGCAGGUGGCUAAGGGUCCGGCGGUAGACCGGCCGCUGAAUUCGCCGAACUGAGGUGACGGAUUGAUGUGGUGGAUGCCGACAUCACGCUUGUAAACAAGCGGGUUGACGAGUCACAGACUAUGUGCUCAUUUUCCCUUAUUUGUUUAGGAAAUAUUAAGAGGAUUGUAAUGUUAAUAUGGUAUGAUUUGGCUGCAGGCGGAGCUGCUGCCAUUGAGGCCCUAAGGGCGGAACUUGCCCUAGCCAAGGAACAAGCCCGGGCUAGCAAUGCGGCUACCCUAAAGGCGGCCGAAGAUUUGAGAGCCGAACAGGCUACUCAUCGCCGAAGCGAAGGAAAAAUAGCCGAGAUGUCUAUGGAGCUGAGGGACGCCGCCAUCCGGUAUGAGCUUCUCGAGAAGGAGAAUCAGGCAAAGUCGGCUGACCUGAAGAAGGCCCUGGAUGCGGCUAAGGAGACGCGCUCUGAAAUUAGAGCUGCGCGGGAGGAGCUUUGACAGGCCGGAGACAUCGCGGCUGGAAGCCCCUAUUUGUUGCGGAUGAAGUUUGGAGACCCCAAGUACGCUCCUCUAGAUCAACUUAUGAGUGCUGCGGAAGCGUAUGCGGAUCUGGCGAAAAGUGUGGCUGAUGCAACCAAGUUCUUCAAGGAUCAAAAAGAUAAUGACGUAGAAAGGUUGUUCUGGUCGCAAUUUAAUGCUCCGACGCGCCCGCUGCCAUUGAGUGAGAGGAUGGCCGCUAUGGCCGAGCUCCAUAGGUUUUCCGGUCUUGCCAUGAGGUCCAUAAUAGACCAUCUAUGGCCAAAGGGACUAAGGCCGGGCAGUUAUUUUGGUUUAGUGCAACAAUUCCUUCAUGCUGUAUCGAGAAUCGAUGCCAUGAGGAGGUCAGCGUGCAUAGAGGGUGCGCGGAUGGCUCUUGCCCGUGUUAAGACGUAUUGGGCGGAUAUGGAGGCCACCAGCAUUGCAACCCAGAGUCCAGCAGGAAGCCAGGACCCAACCGAGCACUAUUUUGAGCAGGUCAUAGAAGGUGCCCGUAUAAUAGAGGCUCGGUGCUCGAAGAGUGUCAUGUUCGAGUGACAAAUCAUUUAAUUGUAAAAACAAUUCUGUGUUAAUUAUAAAGGCUGUGUUUAUACUUUCGCCUGAAAGUUUUAUAGUGCCUCCUGUGCGGCCGUUUAUGUAUGUAUAUAACCUGAAAGUUAGCAGUCAUUGGCUUCAGCCCCCACACAUAUAAUGCGGGGGUGUUCGAGAAAAUGUGCAUAAUCACACUUGAUCCAACGUCUUGGUCCACUAAGGAGGUGAUUGCAUGUCGAACUAGGCAACCGGACUAUAUAGCUGUAACACUUUCACUUAGCCAUAGGAGUUUGACAGUGGGGCCACUAUGUAGCCCCUAGUACCUCCGCGUGCAUCCGGAUAGGGGCGCGUAUGUACAUGACCAGGAAACGGUCCUUCGUUAAUGCGGAGGAAUCCUAAAGAUUCCGAUGAGUCCUCGAGUGGUUGACCAGUCUCUCGUUGUAUCAUGACAGUCAGUUUUCAGCUUUCUCUACUGAGGUGCUCAUCUGGAAUAACCAGGGCACAAUCGCAGUAGUUCUCCUUUGGCCGCCUUAGCCGAUAGAACGGAAUGUAAGGCAUCAAACCCAGGAGCCAGGCAAACCCAACAUUUGACCAAAGACAUGAUUCAGAGCUGAUGCAUAUAAGGCCAAACUCGCGACGCCGAACACUCCCGAAGGUAUUCGGACUUUAUAACAUAUACUGGGCUGAGCAACGCCCUCGAUUAUGAACCCUGUAUUUCCAGGUAUGUGCAUUAAUCUGUCGUGGAAAAAUGCCUAUGACGCAAGUAUCCCCUGUGGGUGUAUUGAAUACCCAUGGGAUGUCCAGCAACAAGAGACAACAAAGAAGGUUUACACAGGGGCUUAAUCUAAAGAGAAACCUUUGAGCGGGGCCCUGCUGCACGUCUGCGCCUUUGUCUCUGUUGUGCCGUAUCCUGGAAGGGUGUCACAUGAAUAGUGUCUAUAAAAAUGAGAAACUCAUGUAAAAGAGUAUGGAGUAAGCUGCGAAAAGUUGUUUAUGAUGAAUAUUGAGAAAUGUGAGGUAUUGGCAUAUUAAUAAGGUCAAGCCAAAUUGUGGGCCUUGUUACAUGUUUGCAGCCCCUGGUACCAUCUAUGGGGGGUAUAUGUAUAGCACCCAACUUAGGUUUAUCUGGGCUAUUACCGACGGUGGUGCACCGGACUCGUCUAACCGUGUCCGUGGUCUUAAUGACCGAUCAUACGUUUCAGUGGGAGAGGCCGCUUAGUGUCCGGCUGCAAGAGCCGCCGCAUACUCUUCCGUUCGUAAGGAAUGCUCUGUGUUUCCGCUAACAUUGAUGACGCCACGUGGACCGGGCAUCUUGAGCUGAAGGUAGGUGUCGGUGUCAAAACCGGCGGAUCUCGGGUAGGGGGUCCCGAACUGUGCGUCUAGGCGGAUGGUAACAGGAGACAAGGGACACGAUGUUUUACCCAGGUUCGGGCCCUCUUGAUGGAGGUAAAACCCUACGUCCUGCUUGAUUGAUAUUGAUAUUGUAGAUGUUUACAAGAGUGGAUCUACCACGAGAUCAAGGAGGCUAAACCCUAGAAGCUAGCCUAUGGUAUGAUUGUAAUGGUUGUUGUUGUUGUCUCUAUCGACUAGCCUGGCCUCGGUUUAUAUAAUGCACCAGAGGCCUAGGAUAACAAGAGUCCUAGCCGAAUACGCCGGUGGGGGAGGGGUCCUUGUCUUGAUCGCCACGUCUUGUGGAAUCUUCCUUGUAUGCGGCAACUGUCCGGACUGGCCCAUGAGUAUACGGCCAUGGGGAUCCUCGGCCCAAUCCAACUGAUCGGGAGACGACGUGGUGAGUACCCCCUAGUCCCGGACACCGUCAGUAGCCCCCUGAACCGGUCUUCAAGUUGGGGAUGCUCCUCGAUUCUUCCGAACUGUUCUUCAUCUUCGGUCGUCGGUCUUGAGAACUGGUUCAACAAAUCUUCUCAUCUUUGAUCUUGAGGAUCGUCGAAAUGCAUUCGACGAGUUUAUACGUCGGGUAUCCGAGGAGCCCCUUUAAGUUUCCGGCCUUUAUCAAUGCCUUGUUAUUUUUAUGCCACACCUCGGGUUUGAAGUUGUUCCCGGGCGGCAACGUCCUCUUGCGUCCGAGCUCCAACGCCGGACUGCAUUCAAGGUAUCUUUUGCAGCCGAGCACCAAUGCCGGACUGCUUCCCAGCUCUAACGCCGGACUAUGUAUCCGAGCUCCAACGCCGGACUAUAUCCGAGGUGUCGUAAAUCACCUUGGUUCAAAGAAGUUUGAAGGAGUUUAGCCGAGCUUAAUGCCGGAAGUGCCCUCUAUGGAGCCAGCCACUAGCGCCCGAGCUUUACGCCGGACUGCUUCUAAGGUGGUGCACCACCCCGAAUGUGGGCCGAUUUUUGUCAAUAUUUUUGAUUGGUGCCAGUAGCCCUCAAGGUGGGUAUCGGUCUAAAACCCGAGAUGCACAUGAAGGAUGACAUAAGACCGCUGAUCCCCGUAGCCGCUGAGACUCAGGUUGAUUUGCAAAAUCGGUCUGUGGAUCAAGUCCUAGCUCGGCAGAAUACUUUGGGACACAAAAAGUGGCGUGCUCAGUCCUCGAGACUCAGGUUGGGUGCGGACGACCAACCUGAGGAUCAAAAUCUCCUCGGAAACUGUAUUGCACUUAAAAUUUUCUGCAUAGAACAUGCAAUGCAGUAGCCCCCGAGACACUGGUCGGGUGGCAACACCAGAUCAAGGGAUUGAUGUGCCCCUUUAAUAUUUGUAAAUAAUAAGCCCGAAGCCCAGUAGCCCCCGAGCCUUAAUGCGGGCACAGGAGGCCGAAUUGAGGAUCGAUAUCCAUAGUAAAAUCACAAAUUAUGUGUAAUGACUCUAUGUAUCCAAGUACUUUACGUCAUUAAUGCUCGGAUCCGCAUUGUACAAAACUUUGUUGACCGACCAUCGGCUUCCACCUCCUCAGCCAAUAGCCAAGGAGUGUUUGUCCUACUUUAUAAAGCCUUUAUGAGGGCAAAGAUUUACAACAAACAAGGCAAUCUGGCCAUACGGUUUUAUAAACAAAGGUAUGCGGAGAGACAUGUUAUAUUACUGUUUAACAGAAGAAAUGUCUUCCAGAGAAAAUAGUCCCGCUAUCGGUUCCUUUCUUUGGGUUGUCAUGCUAAGCAUGAUCAUGAAACCUCUGCUCCAAUGUAAGAGCAAAAUAUCGAGGAUUUAGUUUGGGAGGCCAGUUAAUAGCCCUCGAUAGUGUUCGACGACAGUCGAGGUCAAGCCGGAAACACUUAGGCCAAUGAAUGGCCCGUCAUUUAAUAUAGUCAUCGGAUCGCUGACCAGUUUACACCUAUUGUGAUAGUCAGUUUUCGGCUUUCUCCACUGAGGUGCUUGACCAUGUGAGCUGGAAGCACAAUCGCAGUGGUUCUCCCUUUGCACACCUAGCCGAACAAAGCAGAACGUAGGAGGCAAGCGCGGGAGCCGGGCAACCCAACUAUUGACCAAAGACACAAUUCGAAACUGAUGCAUAUAUAGCAAUAUCCGAGAAUGUUUUUGCCGAAUCUCAAAAGGUGUCCGGCGUUGCACUGCGAGACUUGUGCUGAAAACACACAAAUAGUUUAAAAAGUGCCAUGGGCUCGAAAAGCCAAAAAAAUUAUUCAAAAGAUUAAUGUCCGAACUAGAUCAAGUGUUCGGUGCCAAUUCGAAAAUUGGACUUUAGAAAAAGGUGCUUCUGUCGUGCUUUAACAUGACACAUCCUAUCUCAAAACUUCAAGCGGGCCAGCCUACGGCUUCUUUGAGAGAGAAAUUAGGCUCCCCGGCUAGUGACCGCACACUUGUGUCGAAGGAGUGAUAAAUAAUAAUAAAAACUUUGCAACGACUAAGAAGAAAAACACUUAUCAUAAAACGGCUCAUAUAAAUUUAAGAGCCCCCAAGUGACUUGGGUAAAAGUUGAUAAUGUAAGGUGACAUGUAGAAUGCCUUCUAGCCGGAUUGUAGAUCGUUUGUCGUAGCGGACAUUUUCGCUUCAACCUCUGGACCCAAUAGUCCGGAGUGUGUCUGAAUACCCUUGCGGUUAUAAAAACCGGGGCAUGCGUGGAGACCAGGCGUAGGGGUCAUUAGUGCUUUAUCAGACAAGUGCCCAACUAGUUAUGUUAUAUUACAUGGUUAGUAAGAAACAUCUUCCAGGGAGAAUAGUUCCGUUAGGGGUUCCUUUCCCUGGGAGGCAUGCCCUAAAGUGCAUGUCCGGACUGCGAAAAGAGCAGAAAAACAUGUGGGGGCAGGUAAAUAAAUGGGUAAGAAAUCAUCUUUUAGUUCACCGACCAAGUAUUCCCUUAAGAACGCUAGCUUUCGGCUUCACCCAGUCUGAGGUACACAUCCGGCUGACCCGACAGUAACAAUCGCAGAGGUGCUCCCUUUACCACCUAGCCGAACAAUCGGGAACGUAGGGGUAAGCACAGGAGCGAGGCAACCCAGCUUGGCCAAAACUUAAGUCAUAUCAAUGCAUAUAAUGGUGAAUAAAAGGUACAUGCGGAAGUGUGACACUGUGUUGGGCAUAAAGCCCGAAUUAAUAAGCUUUUGUUAAAGAAGCCCCCAGGUAUAAUGAGCGCGGGUAGCGCAUCAAGUGUGUGCGAACAAAGUUUCGACGAGGAAGAUUUUUACAAGCAACUUUUUUCCGAGAAAGUAUAAUGCUUGGUCGAACCGAACACAAGUUAGAAAUUUUAAAACUUUGAGCAUGAAGGCAACUUAGCUGGUUAAUGUGUUCGGUAUUGACGAUGUGGUCCGAGCUUGAUGCGGGACAAGGUUCCAUCCCCCAAGCCGGUCCCGAGGUGGCGGAGCAAAGAGCUCGGCGCUGUGAAGUGGUGACAUAGCAUGGUCAAUGUAGGACGGCAGAGUGAUGCCAAAGUCCCUGGCAUGGGGUAAUGAAGUGUUGACGAAGCCCCCUGUCCAGCCGAGGUGACGUCAAAGGAUAUAGUCCGGCUGGAUCAUUUUCCUGUGCACAAGAAACAGUGCAGACCGGGGAUAAUAGUAAUAAUAGGAAUUAAAAAAAUGUUGCAUAAUAAAUAAUUUAUGCAAAGUGAGUAGUAAAAGAAAUAUGGCCUGGCGCCGGAGUUGAUGUCGAUGCAGGUCGUCGGCGUAAUGCAAUAAAGGUGUGGCAAAGCCUGGAUUCACUGGUCGGUCCGAGUUCCGGGUGCGGCGUUCGCCGAACUGUGUACGGAAACUGAUCGAACCAUCACGCGACCGUCGAUAAUGCGGCCACCAUUUGAUAGACCUGUGUACAUAUGCAGGACUAACCAGAGUAAUAAUUCCUUGGGAAAAAUUUAACCCAAACGAGCAAAAAGAAAUACUAGGAUUAAUAGCACCUGGUUUAUUUGUUGUAGCAAUCCGAAGGAAGGUGAUUCCCAAAAUUGGGACUCGAUCCGCGCACCCAUGUCUGGUCGGCUAGUGACGCCGAAGUGUCCGGAGUAGGUUGAUGAAGAGAUGGCGAAGCCCCCGGUCCAGCCUAGAUGUCGAAGUAGGUCGGCGUGAUGGACACCAGCUUGAAGAACCAAUAGUGCGGCCCUGCCGAUGCAGGUUGUGACAUGGUCGAUGCCGGCUUGAUGAAGCGACCGUGCGGCGAUGCCGGUAUGCCUGCUCCGUGUAAUCCGUGGGGCGGCGAUGUUGGUGAUGAUUUAUCCUUCGCGAUGCCGGACUCUUGUUCGGUUUGCCAAGAUGAUGAUCCAAAGAAGUUGAGCUUGGCUCAACAAAGUGACGACGUGUCUAGCGCAGGUCGGCCGCCGUGGAGCAAUAUUGCCGGACUGGUUUGACACCAGCGAUGAUGUUGAAGAUCAUGUUCAAAAGAUCUUAAGGUUAGUGGGAUGUGUUUGGGAACAAUACACAAUAUCCCAUACAAAACUUCCUUCAAAAAGGAUGUCCGAAAUCCCGUUCAUAAAAAAGAUGAAUUCGGGUCGGAUUCGUUCUCGCGCAGAAAACAAAUCCGAAAAGUCAUGCACUAAUCGGAAGGUUCCCGGAGUUCUGACGGUCGGAUCGAGCUGAAAUUUGGAGGGGUGGUAGACAUAGGAAUUCCGCAGCCGAUCAACGGUUGGAUCUUCCAAAGGACGUCCGAGCUAGAAGCUGGACACCACGCCCUAAACUCGUCCAGAUUCCCGUCCAGAUUUGACAGGGCUCCGGUAUAUCGUGGAUUGCGAGAGAUUCCUCCAUCGGAAUUCGACAAAAUUUUCCAGGGUUGUUGUAGACUCAAUUCCGCACAAUUCCACCAAAGUGAUCGUCAAAGCAAUACUCGAGGAGGUGGUGGCAGCAGAUACGAGUUUGAUGUCCAGAAAAACAGCACGGUCGCUUGAGGGCAAUGUUGACGUUGAGCCCCCGAGCUCCAUGGAUGAUUCCUCCGUGAUCUUGAUAGAGAUCGGAGUUGAUGUUUGAUGAAGGCCCUCGUCCGAACAUGGUGAUCCGAACACGGGGCACAAUUCUUGGUUGAACCAAGGUGACCAGUCGAGUUGGUGACAAAGGUGCCGAAGUCGCAGUUGAUCUGCAGGCGAGCCAUCGAUCCUUUUGUCGAUCACACAGCGGAACUCUCAAUGAAAGCAUCAAUGUCGGUGUCAAAACCGGCGGAUCUCGGGUAGGGGGUCCCGAACUGUGCGUCUAGGCGGAUGGUAACAGGAGACAAGGGACACGAUGUUUUACCCAGGUUCGGGCCCUCUUGAUGGAGGUAAAACCCUACGUCCUGCUUGAUUGAUAUUGAUAUUGUAGAUGUUUACAAGAGUGGAUCUACCACGAGAUCAAGGAGGCUAAACCCUAGAAGCUAGCCUAUGGUAUGAUUGUAAUGGUUGUUGUUGUUGUCUCUAUCGACUAGCCUGGCCUCGGUUUAUAUAAUGCACCAGAGGCCUAGGAUAACAAGAGUCCUAGCCGAAUACGCCGGUGGGGGAGGGGUCCUUGUCUUGAUCGCCAAGUCUUGUGGAAUCUUCCUUGUAUGCGGCAACUGUCCGGACUGGCCCAUAAGUAUACGGCCAUGGGGAUCCUCGGCCCAAUCCAACUGAUCGGGAGACGAUGUGGUGAGUACCCCCUAGUCCCGGACACCGUCAGUAGGCAUAGUGCGGUACUGCGUUGAAGUGAGAAAAAGGUCGUUCUUCCAAGUAAUGCAUGAUAACCGCUGCUGAAGGGAGCGAUGUCGAAGAGUAAUUCUUUGCUUCCGUAGUUGUCGGGAGAACCGAAUGUCACCUCUAAUAUGAGGGAGCCCCUGCAGCGGGCCUCAAUGCCUGGUAUCACUCCUUUAAAGGUGGUGUUACUUUGGCUGAUUCUAGAUGGGUCUAUCCCCAUCUUGCGGAUGGUGUCCUGAUAUAUCGGGUUAAGACUGCUGCCGCCGUCCAUGAGGACUCGAGUGAGAUGGUAUCCAUUGAUUAUUGGGUCGAGCACCAAGGCAGCCGAUCCUCCGUGCCGGACACUAGUCGGGUGGUCCCUGUGAUCAAAGGUGAUCGGGCAGGCCGACCAGGAGUUGAAUUUGGGGGCAACGGGCUCUACAGCGUAUACAUCAUAGAUCAUGUUUACUGUUUUGACUUCAGGUGGUAAUUUUUUCUAUCCCCCAGUGUUCGGCUGGCGAGGCUCAUCCUCAUCUUCACCUGGUGUUUCCCUUUCCUUGUGUUCGGUGUUUAACUUGCCGGCCUGCUUGAAGACCCAACAUUCUCUGUGAGUGUGAUUCGCAUGUUUUUCGGGGGUGCCAUGAAUUUGGCACAAUCUGCCCAAGACUUUAUUCAGGCUGGAUGGUCCCUCUUUGCUGCCUUUAAAUGGCUUCUUUCUUUGACCGGGUCGAGAGCCCCUGAAUCCGACGUUGACCGCCGUGUUGUCCGGACUUCCUUCAUUGUUCUGACGCUUGUUCUUACUGUGCCGUGGCUUCCCGUUGCCAUCCCUAAUUUCGGAUGUGCCUGAGUCAUUGGUGCCUCUACGGGCCAACCAGCUGUCCUCGCCCGCACAAAAGCGGGUCAUAAGGCUUGUUAAGGCCGCCAUUGUCCUCGUCUUUUCUUGGCCGAGGUGUUUGGCCAGCCACUCGUCCCGGAUACUGUGCUUGAAGGACGCUAGGACUUCGGCAUCUGGACAGUCAACAAUUUGAUUCUUCUUAGUGAGAAAUCUGUUCCAAAGCUUGCGGGCUGACUCUCCGGGCUGUUGUAUUAUGUGACUUAAAUCGUCUGCGUCCGGAGGUCGGACAUAGGUCCCUUGAAAAUUGGCCCUGAAAGCGUCCUCAAGUUCCUCCCAGCUUCCGAUUGAAUUUUCGGGGAGACUUUUCAACCAGUGCCGAGCUGGCCCUUUCAACUUGAGGGGAAGGUAUUUCAUGGCGUGGAGGUCAUCCCCACGAGCCAUGUGGAUAUGAAGGAUAAAAUCUUCAAUCUAGACCCCAGGGUCCGUCGUUCCGUCGUAUGCCUCUAUGUUCAUGGGUUUGAAUCCCUGUGGAAAUUCGUGAUCCAGCACCUCGUCGGUGAAGCACAGAGGGUGCACAACCCCUUUGUAUCUGGACAUGUCGUGGCAUGUUGUCGACUGUUGUUGUGUCCGGUGUUGAUUCCGAACUGGUAUUCGAUCAGUGUGAUCGUUUUGGUGACCAUAAUCCCGCGCCAGAGCGUGUCCUCUGGAUCCGUAGAUGGACCUCGUCGCGCCGGCCUUUUUGUCUAGAAGCUCACGUAAAUCGUGUGCGGCGUCACUGGCUGCUCUAUCGUGGCCAUGAAGUGGUUGGUCCGGAUGAUUGGCCGUAUUGUUCUUCGGCGGGAUGGGCUCUACGACCUCAUCAUCGAAUUCAGGCAUUAGCUUGCGUUUUGGGUAGCUCUUUGUGUGGCGAUCGUCGCCAUAUUUUCCUUCAGUGUCUAGCACCUUAUUCCAUGUGUUGUUGAGCGUAUCCUGCGCGGCCUUAAGCCUUUGCUUCUGCUUUUUUAGACUCCUCACAGUGGCCAUAAGCCUGAUGACCCACAAGUGUAGGGGAUCUAUCAUAGUCCUUUCGAUAAGUAAGAGUGUCGAACCCAACGAGGAGCAGAAGGAAAUGAUAAGCGGUUUUCAGUAAGGUUUUCUCUACAAGCACUGAAAUAGUAGGUGAUAGAUAGAUUUGUGAUAAGAUAAAUAGUAACGAGCAAAAGUAAAUAAAGUGCAGCAAGGUGGCCCAAUCCUUUAUGUAGCAAAUGAUAAGCCUGGACAAAUUCUAAUAAUGAGGAAGGAGCUCCUGAGGACACAUUGGGAAUUAUCGUCAAGCUAGUUUUCAUCACGCUCAUAUGAUUCACGUUCGGUACUUUGAUAAUUUGAUAUGUGGGUGGACCGGCACUUGGGUGCUGCCCUAACUUGACAAGCAUCCCACUUAUGAUUAAUCCCUAUUGCAAGCGUCCGCUACUACAAAAAGGAGUAUUAAGGUAAACCUAACCACAACAUUAAACAUAUGGGUCCAUAUCAACCCCUAACGAAGCAACACAUAAACUAGGGUUUAAGCUUCUGUCACUCUAGCAACCCAUCAUCUACUUAUUACUUCCAUAUGCCUUCCUCUAGGCCCAAAUAAUGGUGAAGUGUCAUGUAGUCGACAUUCACAUAACACCACUAGAGGAGAGACAACAUACAUCUCAUCAAAAUAUCGAACGAAUACCAAAUUCACAUGACUACUAAUAGCAAGACUUCACCCAUGUCCUCAGGAACAAACGUAACUACUCACAAAGCAUAUUCAUUUCAUAAUCAAAGGUGUAAUAAUAUGCAUUAAGGAUCUGAACAUAUGAUCUUCCACCAAGUAAACCAAUAAGUAUCAACUACAAGGAGUAAUCAACAGUACUAGCAACCCACAGGUACCAAUUUGUGGUUUUGGAUACAAGAUUGGAUACAAGAGAUGAACUAGGGUUUGAGAGGAGAUGGUGCUGGUGAAGAUGUUGAUGGAGAUUGAACCCCUCCCGAUGAGAGGAUCAUUGGUGAUGACGUUGGUGAUGAUUUCCCCCUCCCGGAGGGAAGUGUCCCCGGAAGAACAGCUCCGCUAGAGCCCUAGAUUGAUUCCGCCAAGGUUCCGCCUCGUGGCGGCGGAGUUUCGUCUCGUAAGCUUGCCCAUGAAUUUUUCCAGGACAAAACCCUUCAUAUAGCAGAAGAUGGACGCCGGAGGCCCACCAGGGAGCCCAGGAGAUAGGGGGGCGCGCCCCUAGGGGGGGCGCCCCCUGUCUCAUGGACAGGGUGUGGGCCCCCUGGCCUAUUUCUUUUGCUCAUAAUUCCUUAAUAAAUCCAAAAAGUUGUUUCGUGGAGUCUCAGGUCUUUUGGAGUUGUGCAGAAUAGGUUUCCAACAUUUGCUCCUUUUCCAGCCAGAAUUCCAGCUGCCGGCAUUCCCCCUCUUCAUGGUAAACCUUGUAAAAUAAGAGAGAAUAGCCAUAAGUAUUGAGAUAUAAUGUGUAAUAACAGCCCAUAAUGCAAUAAAUAUUGAUAUAAAAGCAUGAUGCAAAAUGGACGUAUCAACUCCCCCAAGCUUAGACCUCGCUUGUCCUCAAGUGGAAACCGAAAUCAAAAAAUAUGUCCACAUGUUUAGAGAUAGAGGUGUCGAUAAAAAUAAAAAUACGGACAUGAGGGCAUCAUGAUCAUUCUAAUAACAGCAACAUAUAUGGAUUUUGUCAUAUGAUUUCCUAUGUUCAAGUGAUAAGCAGUUCACAAUGUCAAGUAUGGUUCAAAAACUUCAUUGGGAACUAACAAACUAUAAUCUCAGUCAUUGAAGCAAUUGCAAUUUAUUGUAACAUCAGAAAGAGUCACUAAUAGAGCUUCUCAGCAAGCUCACAUACUCAACUAUCUCAUAGUCUCCCAUAAUUGUUAACACUCACGCAAUACUUGUGGUUAUAGAGUUUCAGCCGGACACUAAGAAAGAUAGGGGCUUAUUGUGUUGCCUCCCAACGUAUUCACCUUUAGGUGAUGUCAACAAUAAUUGCCUAUGCCAACUUACAUCCAAUCGGAUAUAUAUAUCAUGAUCUUUCAAACACGAAGAGCUUGCCAAAGGAUAAAAUGAAAAAGGAAAAGGUGAGGAUCACCUUGACUCAAGUAUUAAAGUAAAACAUAAAGUAAAAGAUAGGCCCUUCGCAGAGGGAAGCAGAGGUUGUCAUGCGCUUUCAGGGUUGGAUACACAAAAUCUUAGUGCAAAAGAACGUCACUUUAUAUUGCCCCUUGUAUGUGGACCUUUAUUAUGCAAUCCGUCGCUUUUAUUACUUCCACAACAAGUUCGUACAAAGCUUAUUUUCUCUGCACUAAUAAGUCAUGCAUAUUUAGAGAGAAAUUUUUAUUGCUUGCACCGAUGACAACUUACUUGAAGGAUCUUACUCAAUCCAUAGGUAGGUAUGGUGGACUCUCAUGACAAAACUGGGUUUAAGGAUAUUUGGAAGCACAAGUAGUAUCUCUACUUGGUGCAAGGAGUUUUGGCUAGCAUGAGGGGGAAAGGCAAGCUCAACAUGUUUAGAAGGUCACUGACAAUAUACUUUAACUGAGAUGUCGGAAAACAUAAACCAUUACGUUGUCUUCCUUGUCCAACGUCAACUCUUUUAGCAUGUCAUACUUAAUGAGUGCUUCACAAUCAUAAAAGAUGUCCCAGAUAAUAUAUCUAUAUGUGAACCCCUCUUUCCUUAUCACUUCCUAUUAAUUGCAACGAUGACCAAGGCUACGUUCAUCAACUCUCAACAAUUUUUAUGCCUCAUACUUUCUAUAUGUGAAGUUAUCACUAUCCAUAAGAUCUAUCUGAACUCUUUUGUUCUUUCUACUUUCUCAAGAUCAUAGCAACAUAGCAAAGCCCUUGACUCAACACUAAUCUUUAUUAUAGAUAGCACACGGACUCGCUUACAAAAAGAGAUCACAACGAAAAACUCAAAACUACUUGAUAUCAAAACUUCGAACUAAUAGAUCAAGAUACUACUAAAAGGAUCGAACUAAAUAAAGCGGUAAAGAAAGGAGUGUGAUGGUGAUACAAUACCGGGGCACCUCCCCCAAGCUUGGCGGUUGCCAAGGGGAGUGCCCAUACCCAUGUGAUUAUUUCUUUGGAGGUGGUGAAGUAAGAGUUGUCGCACUUUCUUCUCUAGCUUGCGUCUAAGGCUAAAAUUUUCCUCCCUCAGAUCCUCAUUCUCGAGCUCAAGUUUCAUUAUCUUUUUGCAUAGUGUUGCCUUGCUGUCCUGCAAAAAACGCGGUGGGAUAGAUUGGACCUUAGGGAGACUUGAUUUCUUGAACUCCACAUGCAUAUCACCAGGUUGAGGCAGUGGAUCGUCCUCUUCAUCAGAGCUUGUCUCCUCCUUCCUCUUUGGAUCAUAGUCUUCUUCUUCCUCUAUGGUCCAUCCAUAGCGUUCCACAUCCCCAUAUACUUUUGGAUUUGCAAUAUAAUCAGCUAUGUAGCUUUCUCCCUCCGAAUCUUGGGAUGACAUCUUGUUCAAUUCUGCAGCAGGAACAACUCGAAACGAAAACAGAGGAUAUUUGCGUGAUACGGUGGUAAAAACCUUCGGGAGUAUAUAUAAUGAAUUUUUACCGACCAAAAUACGUAACAUACAAGAAAACGGAGUCCGGGAGGCACAGGAGGUGCCCACAAGACAGGGGGCGCCCUCCUCUCUCAUGGAAGCCUCGUGUCCCUUUCGGAUUACUUCUUUCUUCCUAAAAUCCUUAAAUAAUCCAAAACUGAUGAAAAUUGCCAUUAGAGUUGUUUUGGAGUCGAUUUACUUACCGUACCAUGUAUCUAUGCCUUUUCGGAGUCUGGAACAUUCUGGAAAGUGUCUCUUAUGUAUUCCUCAGGGGUUAUGGUUUAAAUAAUAUUAGUUUCAACAUUGAUAGGAUUACCUGAAAUAUAAUGUUUAAUUCUUUGACCGUUUACCACGCUCGGAUUUGUGCCUUCAAAGUUGUUGAUUUUUUUAGCACCAAAACGAUAGACCUCCUCGAUAACGUAGGGACCUUCCCAUUUUGAGAGAAGUUUUCCUGCAAAAAAUCUUAAAAGAGAGUUGAACAAUAACACAUAAUCUCCUACGUUAAACUCACGCUUUUGUAUCCUUUUAUCAUGCCAGCGUUUGACUUUUUCUUUGAAAAGCUUAGCAUUCUCAUAUGCUUGGGUUCUCCAUUCAUCAAGUGAGCUAAUAUCAAAUAACCUUUUCUCACCGGUAAGUUUGAAGUCAUAAUUAAGCUCUUUAAUAGCCCAAUAUGCUUUAUGUUCAAGUUCAAGAGGUAAAUGACAUGCUUUUCCAUAAACCAUCUUAUAUGGAGACCCAUAGGAUUUUUGUAUGCAGUUCUAUAGGCCCAUAAUGCAUCAUCAAGUUUUUUGGACCAAUUCUUUCUAGAUCUAUUUACAGUCUUUUGCAAAAUUAAUUUGAGCUCUCUAUUGCUCAACUCUACUUGACCACUAGACUGCGGGUGAUAAGGAGAUGUAAUUCUAUGAUUGACAUCAUACUUAGGAAGCAUCUUACGGAUAGCACCAUGAAUAAAGUGUGAACCACCAUCCGUCAUAAGAUAUCUAGGGACUCCAAACCUCGGAAAAAUAACUUCUUUAAGCAUUUUAAUAGAAGUGUUAUGAUCAGCACUACUAGUUGGAAUAGCUUCUACCCACUUAGUAACGUAAUCAACAGCAACUAAAAUAUGUGUAUAACCAUUGGAGGCAGGAAAAGGUCCCAUAUAAUCAAAACCCCAAACAUCAAACGUUUCAAUAACAAGAGAAUAAUUCAUAGGCAUUUCUUGACGUCUACUGAUGUUACCUAUUCUUUGACAUUCAUCACAAGAUACGACAAACUUACGAGCAUCUUUGAAAAGAGUAGGACAAUAAAAACCAGAUUGUAGUACCUUGUGUGCAGUUCUAUCUCCAGCGUGGUGUCCUCCAUAGGAUUCAGAGUGACACUUGCGUAGGAUUUAUUCUUGUUCAUGCUCAGGCACACAACGUCUAAUAAUACCAUCUACUCCUUUAUAAAGGUGUGGAUCAUCCCAGAAGUAAUGUCUUAAAUCAUAAAAGAACUUUUUCUUUUGCUGGUAUGUGAAACUAGGCGGUAUGUAUUUAGCAACAAUGUAAUUAGCAUAGUCAGCAUAACAAGGAGUAGUACGAGAAGCAUUGACAACCGUUAAUUGUUCAUCAGGAAAACUAUCAUUAAUAGGCAGUGGGUCAUCAAGAACAUUCUCUAGCCUAGACAAGUUGUCUGCAACGGGGUUCUCAUCUCCCUUUCUAUCAAUAAUAUGCAAGUCAAAUUCUUGGAGCAAGAGAACACAUCUAAUGAGUCUAGGCUUAGCAUCUUUCUUUUCCAUAAGAUAUUUAAUAGCAGCAUGAUCAGUGUGAAUAGUAACUUUAGAAUCAACAAUAUAAGGUCUAAACUUAUCACAUGCAUACACAACUGCUAAGAAUUCUUUUUCAGUGGUAGCAUAAUUUCUCUGGGCAGUAUCAAGAGUCUUACUAGCAUAAUGGAUAAUAUUCAAUUUCUUGUCGACUCUUUGCCCUAAAACAGCACCUACAGCACAAUCACUAGCAUCACACAUAAUUUCAAAAGGUAAAUUCCAAUCAGGUGGCUGAACUAUAUGUGCUGUGAUCAAAGCUUUCUUAAGUGUUUCAAAUGCUUCUACACAAUCAUCAUCAAAGACAAAAGGAAUAUAUUUUUGCAAUAAAUUAGUUAGAGGCCUAGAGAUUUUAGAAAAGUCCUUAAUAAACCUCCUAUAAAAACCGACAUGACCAAGGAAACUUCUUAUACCUUUUAUGUCCUUGGGACAUGGCAUCUUUUCAAUAGCAUCAACUUUGGCUUUAUCAACUUCAAUACCCCUCUCGGAGAUCUUGUGCCCCAAGACAAUGCCUUCAUUAACCAUAAAGUGACACUUUUCCCAAUUCAGGACGGGACUAGUGUCUUCGCAUCUCUGCAAAACUCGAUCAAGGUUGCUCAAACAAUCAUCAAAAGAGGAUCCAUAGACGGAGAAGUCAUCCAUGAAUACCUCACAAAUCUUUUCACAAAAAUCAGAAAAUAUAGCCAUCAUGCAUCUUUGAAAGGUAGCAGGUGCAUUACAUAAACCAAAAGGCAUACGUCUAUAAGCAAAAGUACCAAAAGGCAAGUAAAAGUAGUUUUAGAUUGAUGCCCCGCUGAUACAGGUAUCUGAGAGAAGCCAGAAUAACCAUCUAGAAAGCAAAAAUGUGUGUGUUUGGAUAACCUUUCUAGCAUUUUAUCAAUAAAAGGUAAAGGGUAAUGAUCUUUCUUAGUAGCUUUAUUUAACUUGCGGAAAUCAAUUACCAUCCUAUAGCCUGUAAUAAUUCUUUGUGGGAUCAAUUCAUCUUUAUCAUUAGGGACAACGGUAAUACCUCCCUUUUUAGGGACACAAUGGACAGGGCUUACCCAUUCACUAUCAGCAACGGGAUAAAUAAUACCUGCCUCAAGGAGUUUUAGUAUCUCCUUUCUCACCACUUCCUUCAUUUUGGGAUUUAAUCGUCUUUGAGGAUCUCUAACAGGUUUGGCAUCUUUCUCCACUGAAAUUUUGUGUUGACAUAAUGUGGGACUAAUGCCCUUGAGAUCAUCCAGGGUAUAUCCAAUAGCAGCUCGGUGCUUCUUCAGAGUUUUCAAUAAUCUUUCUUCUUCUUUCUUUUAAAGGUUAGCACUAAUAAUAACAAGAUAUAUUUCUUUUUCAUCAAGAUAAGCAUACUUAAGAUUAUCAGAUAAUGGUUUGAGUUCAAACACGGGAUCACCCUUGGGUGGAGGGGGAUCCCCAAGAAUUUCAACGGGAAGAUUAUGUUUUAGCAUAGGUUCUUGUUUAAGGAACACUUCAUCUAUUUCUUCCCUUUCCUUCAUAAACAUAUCGUUUUCAUGGUCUAGCAAAUAUUGUUCUAACGGAUCAGUUGGAGGAACAACAAUGGAAGCAAGACCAAUAAUCUCAUCCUUACUAGAUGGUUCCUUUUCACGAUGUUGUCUACUAAACUUAGCGAAAUUAAACUCAUGAGACAUACCAUCUAAGCCAACAGUAACAAUAUUCUUUUCACAAUCAAUUUUAGCACUAGCAGUGUUCAAGAAGGGUCUACCAAAAAUAAUGGGACAAAAAUCAUCUUGUGGGGAACCGAGAACAAGAAAAUCAGAAGGGUAUUUAAUCUUCCCACACAAGACUUCAACAUCUCUAACAAUCCCAAUAGGUUUAAUGGUGUCCCUAUUAGCAAGCUUAAUAGUAACAUCAAUAUCUUCUAAUUCAACUGGUGCAAUAUCGUGCAUAAUUUCUUUAUAAAGAUCAUAAGGUAUCGCAUUAGCACUAGCAGCCAUAUCACAUAAGCCAUGAUAACAAUGAUCUCCAAUUUUAACAGAAAUAACAGGCGUGCCUACAACAGGUCUACGUGUCUUAGUAUCGGGUCUAGCAAUAUUAGCAGUUUCACCCAAGAAAGAGAUAACAUACCCAUCUAAGUCCUCAUCCAAGAGAUCUUUAAUCAUAGCAAUACCAGGUUCAACAUUAAUUUGC
This 40155-nucleotide long non-coding RNA is filed under the name Triticum aestivum (bread wheat). RNAcentral describes it as "long non-coding RNA (TAES_LNC007433)". The record is from RNAcentral. Lineage: Eukaryota; Viridiplantae; Streptophyta; Magnoliopsida; Poales; Poaceae.